GAUGAACGCUGGCGGCGUGCUUAACACAUGCAAGUCGAACGGAAAGGCCCCUGCUUGCAGGGGUACUCGAGUGGCGAACGGGUGAGUAACACGUGGGUGAUCUGCCCUGCACUUCGGGAUAAGCCUGGGAAACUGGGUCUAAUACCGGAUAGGACGAUGGGCUGCAUGCCAUUGUGGAAAGUUUUUCGGUGUGGGAUGAGCUCGCGGCCUAUCAGCUUGUUGGUGGGGUAAUGGCCUACCAAGGCGUCGACGGGUAGCCGGCCUGAGAGGGUGUACGGCCACAUUGGGACUGAGAUACGGCCCAGACUCCUACGGGAGGCAGCAGUGGGGAAUAUUGCACAAUGGGCGCAAGCCUGAUGCAGCAACGCCGCGUGGGGGAUGACGGCCUUCGGGUUGUAAACUCCUUUCGCUAGGGACGAAGCGCAAGUGACGGUACCUGGAGAAGAAGCACCGGCUAACUACGUG
RNAcentral lists this ribosomal RNA (465 nucleotides) under uncultured bacterium. Its description in RNAcentral is "partial 16S ribosomal RNA". It matches the Rfam family "Bacterial small subunit ribosomal RNA", at positions 28 to 507 of the family's 1533-position model. The record is from RNAcentral.